This is a non-coding RNA of Acanthosepion pharaonis, 96 nucleotides long. The record is from the annotation of a GenBank genome assembly. Lineage: Eukaryota; Metazoa; Mollusca; Cephalopoda; Sepiida; Sepiidae.
UUAGAACACCGGUUUCCGUACGAUCACCAAAGUUAAGCAACGUCAAUCCUGGUCACUACUUAGAUGGGUGACCGCUUGGGCAUACCAAGUGCUGGA